AGUCGACGGGAAUGUUUCGCUGAUGCGAUUUCGGUCAAUCUUGAAGCAUUUUAGUGGCGGACGGGUGAGUAACGCGUGGGUAACCUGCCCUGUACAGGGGGACAACAGUUGGAAACGACUGCUUAUACCGCAUAAGCGCACAGCUUCGCAUGAAGCAGUGUGAAAAACUCCGGUGGUACAGGAUGGACCCGCGUCUGAUUAGAUAGUUGGUGAGGUAACGGCCCACCAAGUCAACGAUCAGUAGCCGGCCUGAGAGGGCGAACGGCCACAUUGGGACUGAGACACGGCCCAAACUCCUACGGGAGGCAGCAGUGGGGAAUAUUGCACAAUGGGGGAAACCCUGAUGCAGCGACGCCGCGUGAGUGAAGAAGUAUUUCGGUAUGUAAAGCUCUAUCAGCAGGGAAGAGAACAAUGACGGUACCUGACUAAGAAGCCCCGGCUAACUACGUGCCAGCAGCCGCGGUAAUACGUAGGGGGCAAGCGUUAUCCGGAUUUACUGGGUGUAAAGGGAGCGUAGACGGUAGACCAAGUCUGAAGUGAAAGCCCGGGGCUCAACCCCGGAACUGCUUUGGAAACUGGUAAACUAGAGUGCAGGAGAGGUAAGUGGAAUUCCUAGUGUAGCGGUGAAAUGCGUAGAUAUUAGGAGGAACACCAGUGGCGAAGGCGGCUUACUGGACUGUAACUGACGUUGAGGCUCGAAAGCGUGGGGAGCAAACAGGAUUAGAUACCCUGGUAGUCCACGCUGUAAACGA
RNAcentral lists this ribosomal RNA (752 nucleotides) under uncultured bacterium. RNAcentral describes it as "bacterial SSU rRNA". It matches the Rfam family "Bacterial small subunit ribosomal RNA", at positions 60 to 809 of the family's 1533-position model. The record is from RNAcentral.